Molecule: ribosomal RNA, 253 nt
Filed under: uncultured bacterium
Lineage: Bacteria
Description: partial 16S ribosomal RNA
Rfam family: Bacterial small subunit ribosomal RNA
Source: RNAcentral
GACAGAGGUGCCAAGCGUUAGGCGGAAUCACUGGGCUUAAAGCGUGUGUAGGCGGAUGCCUAAGUACCUUGUGAAAUCCCACGGCUCAACCGUGGAACUGCUGGGUAUACUGGGUGUCUUGGGUCAGCUAGGGGUUGCCGGAACAAAUGGUGGAGCGGUGAAAUGCGUAGAUAUCAUUUGGAACGCCAAUGGUGAAAACAGGUAACUGGGAGUGUGCUGACGCUGAGACACGAAAGCCAGGGGAGCGAACGGG